Molecule: ribosomal RNA, 433 nt
Filed under: uncultured bacterium
Lineage: Bacteria
Description: bacterial SSU rRNA
Rfam family: Bacterial small subunit ribosomal RNA
Source: RNAcentral
AACGAACGCUGGCGGCAGGCCUAACACAUGCAAGUCGAGCGAGAUCUUCGGAUCUAGCGGCGGACGGGUGAGUAACGCGUGGGAACGUGCCCUUUGCUUCGGAAUAGCCCCUGGAAACGGGGAGUAAUACCGGAUGUGCCCUAUUGGGGAAAGAUUUAUCGGCAAAGGAUCGGCCCGCGUUGGAUUAGGUAGUUGGUGGGGUAAUGGCCUACCAAGCCGACGAUCCAUAGCUGGUUUGAGAGGAUGAUCAGCCACACUGGGACUGAGACACGGCCCAGACUCCUACGGGAGGCAGCAGUGGGGAAUCUUAGACAAUGGGCGCAAGCCUGAUCUAGCCAUGCUGCGUGAGCGAUGAAGGCCUUAGGGUUGUAAAGCUCUUUCAGGGGGGAAGAUAAUGACUGUACCCUCAGAAGAAGCCCCGGCUAACUCCGUG